AGUUUGAUCCUGGCUCAGGACGAACGCUGGCGGCGUGCUUAACACAUGCAAGUCGAACGGAAAGGCCCUUCGGGGUACUCGAGUGGCGAACGGGUGAGUAACACGUGGGUGAUCUGCCCUGCACUCUGGGAUAAGCCUGGGAAACUGGGUCUAAUACCGGAUAGGACCACACACUUCAUGGUGAGUGGUGCAAAGCUUUUGCGGUGUGGGAUGAGCCCGCGGCCUAUCAGCUUGUUGGUGGGGUAAUGGCCCACCAAGGCGACGACGGGUAGCCGGCCUGAGAGGGUGACCGGCCACACUGGGACUGAGAUACGGCCCAGACUCCUACGGGAGGCAGCAGUGGGGAAUAUUGCACAAUGGGCGCAAGCCUGAUGCAGCGACGCCGCGUGAGGGAUGACGGCCUUCGGGUUGUAAACCUCUUUCAGUAGGGACGAAGCGAAAGUGACGGUACCUACAGAAGAAGGACCGGCCAACUACGUGCCAGCAGCCGCGGUAAUAC
This 499-nucleotide ribosomal RNA is filed under the name Mycobacteroides abscessus. RNAcentral's name for it is "bacterial SSU rRNA". It matches the Rfam family "Bacterial small subunit ribosomal RNA", at positions 10 to 526 of the family's 1533-position model. RNAcentral also lists the same sequence under 1 other name. Lineage: Bacteria; Bacillati; Actinomycetota; Actinomycetes; Mycobacteriales; Mycobacteriaceae. The record is from RNAcentral.